RNAcentral lists this long non-coding RNA (277 nucleotides) under Brassica napus (rape). Its description in RNAcentral is "long non-coding RNA (BNAP_LNC002607)". Lineage: Eukaryota; Viridiplantae; Streptophyta; Magnoliopsida; Brassicales; Brassicaceae. The record is from RNAcentral.
UGCCAAAUUUUUUAAUACUAUGACUAUGACCUAAAAUAAAUUUUAUAGGCUCUUAUUCUAUUCCAUCUUAUGACUAUGACCUAAAAUCUAAAAAUCAACUGUAUAAAAACAAUACGCGUUUUAAAUAAAUUUAUAGUUCCAUCAUUCUCGAAGUUUUGGGAAUAAUUGAAAGGAUCAUAUGGAAUACGGUGAUCAGAGCUGAUCUUUCUUCUUUUGCUUCAACACCUUUAUCUUUCUCCAAUCUCCAGACCAGUUUCCAUACCAGUUGCUUCAACUG